Non-coding RNA from Chelonoidis abingdonii (Abingdon island giant tortoise), 9141 nucleotides. NCBI's taxonomy places the organism in Eukaryota, Metazoa, Chordata, Testudines, Testudinidae. The record is from RefSeq and is a predicted model, not a curated record.
AUGGUCCCUUCUGGCCUUGGAAUUUGUGAACUGUAGAUUGUAGUCAGCUUCCUGGAAAUUUCAUGUUAUAGCUCUCAUGCAUUAGUACAGUAUCAUUAGCAUGAGCUUUGAACACCAAAGGAAAUUGUAACUUUGGAAUUAAAAAGAACAAAAACGCUCCUGGAAAUCUUUCAAUUGGCUGUAUGUUUUGAAAUAACUUUUUUACUUGAGGCCAAAUUUGCAUGACAGGGUCCUUUUCAGAGGAAACUGCUUUACAAUCAUUUUACUGGUGUUAUGUUUUUAUUUAAAAAAUAAUCUGCUUGAAAGGGACUCAAUUUGUGAUGAAGAUACAUGCCCAUGAGAGACUGAAUUGAUACUUCCAGUUCAUUUUAUAUGGGCUACCAGACAUAUAGCAACAAUUAUUUGCUGUUAUUUAAGUUGGUCUUAAUCUUCUAUGAAAGACUGAGCACCCUCUGCUCCCACUGAUGUUAAGGGAGCUGAGAUCCUUGCAGUAUAAUCUCUCCCUAGGGUGGGUAUGACCUAACAGUUUAGAAGUGAAAUGCUCUGUUACUAACCCCCUGUGCCAUCUAGCUCCUCAAUUCUCUGCAACUGGCAGUUUAAUGAGUAACUAAUUUGUUUUGUUUUGCCAAAUAGAUUUAAGAAUGCUCUCUUACUAACAUCUCUGCUGUCACCAGUUUAAAUAAAGAACAUGAAAUAGGCUUAAAUCCUGAGCAAGAGAUUUUAUUGUAAUAUAGAAACUUGUCAGCUACAACUUCCCAGGACUCAUUUCCUACUAAUCUUAUAAGUGAAAAUGGGUCAUGGGUGAGAGUGGUUAGAGGCUCUCAUAGUGCAAGCCUGUUUAGAGUUGUCUAUAUUCUGCAAGAAGCUGUAGUAUUAUUAUUUUUAUUAAAGUAGCAUCUAGAGACCCCCCAACUGAAAUUGGAGUCGCUUGUGUGAUAGGAAACACUGCAGAAGCCUGUUAUAAUCAAGUGAUGAUUAGUGUCCAUCUUUGUUAGAACAUUCUUAACGAAUACUUUAAAAGAUUUCCCCAAAGCUACCAGCAGUUUAGUCUAUUUUAUUGUAUCAUUAAUGUUUCUUUGGAAGAUUAGGGAAUUUUUUUGCAGCAAAUGUCCAUGAUUAAGAAAAUCACUGAUUGUUUACCCAGUAUUAAGAACACUUAAGUAGCUAUGCUGGAAGUAGUAAUAUCCUUACUGAUUGCAAGUUGUUGGUCUUUUUCUGUUUUCAUUAAGCAGUGCAAUGAAUCCAGAUCAUCUUUCUGGUGCUUAAGGUGAGUGUUUUGUGUAAUUUGGGAAAAUUAAAAACCCCUCAGGUCUUUCUGAGCCAUACAGGAAUAUAUAUAGUUGAGAUUCCAUCUUACAUUCAAAGAAUAUAAUAUAUUAGGAGUGAGUCUAAGUGUUGAAUUCAAGUGUUUUCACUCUUGUAUAUAAUUAAUUCUGUGUACUAUAUAAUCUUUUCCUUUUGUUGGCUGAUGAUCCUGUAUUGAAAGGUAAAAAUUUGCUAAAGAAUGUCAGACUUUGUUACCAUUAUGGUAUGUGUAAGAAACACAAAAAAAGCUGAUCUAAAGUUCAUCAAACAGGAAGAGUAAAGGUUAUGGCCUUCACUCAGAGCGAAAGCAACAAUGGAAUUGCUUAUUGGCAACAAGUAUCUAAUGUGUCAUAUUACCCAAGAGUGUAGUAAAAGUUAUGAACAAGUUGCAUGGAUCUCUACCAUUAGUAUCAAACCCGCUUAUGAAAUGUGCAGUAGCUAAUGGUUAAACCCAACAAGAAGUUUAUAUUGAUUAAUGGAAUAAAAUCAGCUCUGAGGUGUUUAAGUGGUGGACAGGAUUUACGCUGGUCUUCUGCAUAGGGGUGAAUUUCACCUUAACUUAUAAUACAGCCAUAUAGAACGUGCUUCUGAACUUUGGUUCAAACAUUGUAUUAAACCUGAGCUAACUGAAUUAAACCCUGGAUCGAAAUUCUCCUCCGGAGAGUUUAGAUUCAGAUUUGAACUUUGUGCAUUAGGCCCACCUCAAAACAUAAUGCCAAAUCCUUGAUUCCUGAAUAGAAAUUUACAGAGAGGAAUUGUGCGUGUGUGAAUAGGGUGAAACUUGGUGCCCAAACCUGAGCUCCUUAGUCAUUCCUUCACUUAGUGCUUACCUUGACAAACUCGUGUUUGCCUGGUGGGUAGAUGCAGAUUAGAAAUACUCAUUUUGAACAUGUGAAUUCAGGUGUCAGCAUGCUCAGUGUGCACGUACUAUAUUUCGAUAAGAACACCUAUUUCCUUCAUGGAAAAUAUGGCCCAGUCUCCUUAGCAGCACCAAAAAUUUGCGGCCACCCUAAGGCUUGGGCACAGGUGACAAUGGGCUCAGCGUUCAUGUUGGUUGCAAAUAGUAGAAGUUGGUACUGCAUUUCAGGACCCUCACCCCCUGACUGUUGUUUAGCUCCCUUAAUAAGCAAACAGUGGGAUGGCAUUGAUUUUAGAUGAGGCUGAACCUUAUUGCUUUACAUAUCAGCAUUGCAGAACUAUGGGUACAUUUAGACAAGAGGUGGUGCUCUCAUUUUAACUUGAGUGCCAAUUAACUUAUUAGCUAACACCUUUGCAGAUGCUAUUCUAGACACUCCACAAAUGUUUGUGAUUUGUCUUUGACAAAAAUCUAGUGAAGACACUGCAAGCAUAGUAUUUCAGUGUGUCAGCAGGACGCUUCUCUUUUCUCCACCUGCUGGCCUGAAACUGACAUAAAAUAAAGGUUAACAAUUAUAUCAUUUAUUUCAUCUUUCACUUCUUUACAAAAAUUAACUCACUGAGCCCCACAACUCCCCAGUGAGGUGGGUAAGCAUAUUAUCAUCCUGGUUUGGGAAACUGAGACAGGUAAAGUGACUUCCACAAGGUGGCACAGCAGGUCAUUUGCUAGAGACAUAAGAUGACUUUAGGAGUCCUAGCCCAGUAAUGAAUAUUUAUCUUCCUGGGAAAGAUGAUAUAGAGCCAAAAAGAUAGGUGAAGAGAAUAAACGAUAGAGAUGAUGACAGAGUGAACACUAAUACAGUUGACUGCAGAAACAGACAGGCAGAAAGGUAAUAGUGAUGAUCCUGAGUCACAUUUUCACUUAACUGUGUUGUUCCACAGUUCAUUGUGGAUUACAUGGGACACCACAAGUUCUAAUAUUUGCUUUGUGAACCAUUUGAACAUUGUUGCUUUGACAGUGUUACUUUGUGAUGGAUCUUGAAUAAUUCAUUCAUCCAGAAAAUGUUUGAGAGUUGAACCUGGCACCUAGAAAAUGUUAGCAUUUCUCUGUGUGCCUCCCACCUCCACUGUUUCAGCUAUCUAGUUUUACCCAGGCUUGUUUUCUACUAUCCAUGUGGUUUUAGGGGUGUGAAAAAUAUUGGUGAGAAUUUGAUUAUGCUUUUAGCUGCCCAAAGGUAUUUUGACAACUAUAAAUGAAAGAGGGGAACUACAGAGACGGGAUUUGUUAAACAGGUAGGGAUCAAGCAUUCUAUUUCUCUACACAAUGUAACUGUAUUUCAUGGUCAUUGUCAAAUUGCUUCAACAGAGAAAACUUGCAACAGCACGGAGGUUCUAGUAAAAGAGUUAAAGGAAAAAAAUUAUUGGAUGGAAAGUUGAACUCAAUUACUCAAAUAUGAAAUGAGUAGCUCUGAAAAGAAGCAUUUCUGGCUGGACAGUGGGUAUUAUCAGGGCCUGGUUAAGGCCUGGAAUUUCAGAGUUUUAUAAAACAGUACAUGUAAAAAAACUUGGAUGAAAAUUUCAUAUGAAAGCUAGAAAACUUUGCUAAUUAUACCUACAGUCAUGGUACUAAAGGGCAGGAAACCUGGUCUGGAUUCUUGACUACUGCAGGCUUGUGGCAUGACCCUUGGCCAACUCAUUUAACCUCUGAGUUUUCUCCAUAGGUUAAUAAUAUCUUCCUCACAAGAGUGCUGCAGGGUAAGGUCAUUUUCUGUAAAGCACUUUGCGAUCCUGGGAUGGAAGGUGCUGUGGCAUCUGAGAGAAGAAUAAUUGAUUAUAAAAACUGGGGACACAGCAAAUAAUGAAGAACUACUAUAGUCAGAUACCGGGUCAGCUGGGCCAGUGAGUAGAAAAUACCAUUUAAGGCAGUCUAAUCUAGUCUACACUACAACAGUAGGGCAAAUUUAUGGCUGAAUUAAGGAGCAAAGAGUGUAUUGCAUGAUGCCCUCUAGUGCAUAGUGGGUGAAAUUCACUCCUGUGCAGAGAAGUCUUGUAUCACAUAAAUCUCACCAUUUGAUCUUGAGUGGGAUUAGUUUGUAUCCAAGCCCUCUGCACAGGGUGAUAUUCACCCUUUGUGUGUAUAGUUUUUUCACCGUAUAGGAAGGUUACUGUUGCUCGGCGGAGGGUUCUGUGUAUUUAUUUAAAUAUAAAUGCCUCAAACACUGGGUAUAUCAUAGCAAAAUAAAAUAGAUAUAUCCUCAUGCUUGGUUGGGUGACAGGGCCUGGUCAAGUCUUGCUUUGCUUCCUGAAAGCAGGCCCAGCAUCUGGCAAAACAUCAGAAUGAGUUCCAGAGGCCCUCUACCCAAUAUCCUGGCUCAGGUGCUGAAGCUGUCAUCACUGAUCUGACAACGAGUGACCAAGUAAAAGCCUUUGUUCCAAUCAGAUACUAAUAGAGUGCCUCCAACUCCCUCACCAAUCACUCUAGUGUGCUGAGAUGGCAACCUUUACCAAAUAAGGACCCAAUCCUGCUCUGACGAAGGUAAAUUAGAAAUAUGACUUCGUGAAUAUCAAUAGUCCCAUGAUAUUCACCAAAAACGUACACAUUCCUAAUUCACACUGAUUUUUUCCUUGAGCUCAGCUAAAUCUAAUAUUCAGCCUCUCAUAUUAAUGAGUUUUGACUGUUAGAUCCACCAGCUUAAGCAGCUUAUCUUUCUGUCCCCUAAUGCUGGCGACCAUUUCACAUGUAUCACAGUGUAUAAUGAGUAAAAAUUAAAGGGACUUAGCUGCAUUGUUAAUACAAUACGAUAGUUAAAAACAAACUAAGGAAUUAGUAUACCAGAUCUGUGAUUUUAAUAAAUGAAUAUAAAUGUUGAAGCACAUAUAAAGCAAAAGAUGAAAACAAAAUGUUAUAUUACAGCCCCCAUAAAGCUAGUAUCAUUGAAUACAUCAAAUACUUUUUUUUUUUUUUUACAAGCCCAUCAUUUACGCAUGAGGUCAGCGUACAAAAACAGUGGAUAACAGAAGAGGAUUUUCUCCCCAACACAACUAAGAAUUAAGAGGAAGGUCACAGUAAAUAAUUACAAUCUGAGCAUUUCCUAUACUUUGGAAGUCUGUUGCUCAUUAUGAUAACACAACUUUAAAUUAGAACAAGCAUAGACUGAGCUGAUAUUUUUCCAGACCCUCAGUCCACUGGGUGUAUUGUGUUAGACUCUUGAACAAAAGAGACAGUAGGGUGGGUUUACACAUUGAGAUAUGGAAUAAAAGGAUUUUUCUGUUAAAAGAACACAAUUAAAUAGCUGUGAUUCUAGCAAAUCUAUGUAUAUUUAUUAUUUGAAGAUUUCUGCUGGGCAUUCCUUGGUGAACAAACUUUGUUUGCAGUAUUAAAACUACUAUUUUGCCCAAUUUAUCGAUGAGCUCAAUGUAAUAAAUAGUCUAUAUACUGCUUCACACAUUGGGAAAGGAAAGCCUAUGUCCUGAUGCUGUAUUCUUUACACCCCUGUAACUUCCUUUGACUAUGUGAGAAAUGUAGGCCCUAUGCAGAUAGCACGAGUGUAAAUGUAGAAAUGUGUACUUACUGAGCAGUAAUGCAAACAGGAGAUACACAUGGCUUUGAAAUGCCAAAGGCUGUAUUAGUAAUCAAGUCUGGUCCUUGAGUUAUUAUUUAAGGUGUUUUUCAUAGGUUCCACUAUACCAUACAAACCUAGUUCAAGUUUACUAGGCUAGCAGAUAAUGUUAAAGUUUGGGGUAUAAAAGUUACUGGCUAACAAUCCAAGAUGUGGUAGAAAACAAAAUAAUUUCGCCAUUAAAAUCAAGAAAUAAAAAUUCUGAUAAUGUAAUUUACAAAUUUCGUCUUUUGAAAAAACACUUUGUAAGCACAAACUUUAAAUGGGGAUUGGACAGAUCUGAUCAUCCUGACUGUUCCAAAUUGUUUUAAUCCAUUUUAAAAAUUGCCCUGUUAAAUUCUACAGAGAUGAAAAAGGAAACACUACUACUAGCUACCACUAACACCUCAAAGAAACUUUGUCUUGCAUUGAGAAAAACCUCGAGUAUCUUUGUAGGGCCUUGAUUCGGUCAUCCUUACUUAGCCUUACUCCACCAGUAGUGAUAAUGAUUCUUCCACAAGCACAGCAGAUUCCGCCCCAUAUGAUUACAUAACACUGGCUUCAUUAGGAUUAUUUUUACUUAAAAAAAAUACAAAACUCGUGUGAGAUUGAUAUGCUUCAGCUAUCAAAAAUCUUGGUAGAAGGAAGAAAAAAAAUGGCAAACAAAGCUGUUGCCAUUGAAAGGAGACAAUCUCUCCUUACAUUCUAGAGGGUCUAUUUUUAUUUUACUCCCCCAGAACUCCCACCUUCCAUAACACAGCUCCAAAAUUCCAGGGUAAGGGAGAACUUGUUCUCUGGAGGCCACAAAAUAGAUAUUAUUUUGUUCCCAUCCCACCUCUUUAAACAACAGAGAACAUUAUGUACUUGUCACCCAUUGGUCUAAGAAGAAUAUGCCUCCAUGAGGAAUUUAUAAUGUGUUAUGCCUGAAUGUCAGCCCUCAGUCUGCACAAAGAACAACUGUUUUCUCUACAUUCCAGUAUUUACUGGUGUGGGCAGUUCAGAUAUAUGCUCCUAGUGGUGCAUGGGAUGGCAGUAGUUGGGGAGAGACCACAACAAAGGCAGCAGCAGAAUAGCUCUUAAACGCACAAAGCUGCACACUUGUUACAAAACUAAUUCAAGCAACAUAAACACAGCCCCCAAAAUACAUUGUCUUUCCUCUUACAAUUCACUCUAGGAAGCAUCUUCUGCAAUAUCUUACGCAGCAAAUCUGGAAAGUGGCCUGAGUUUUUGGGGGCUUUUUUUAAAAUGCUUUCAGGGUGCACUCAGUCUUUUUCUGCCAAAUUGAGCAAUUAAUUUCUUUUGGUUUCCAUACAAAUGAGAAUAUCAGACAUCUAGAUCUCCUCUUAUUUAUACACAAACAUAUGGAGCACAAACCUUUCCUGACACCCAAACUAUUUAAGAUGACUGCAUGACAUUGCUUUAAGCUUUAUGAAACACUAAUUGAAGCAAAAGGCCAGGGAACUAGUUGGAUUCCUGGAGUGGAUUCCUAAAAUAUGUUUUUAUUCAUCAGCGUUAUUGUUUCUGGGGACAACAACAAAAUGCUUUGGCACUAGAGCUCAGUGUUGCUACUUCAAAGAUUAUCACUGACUUUGGCCAAGAUACCAGUUCCUAUGUGCUUACAGCUUACCUCUGUAAGGCAGCACUUUAAAACAUUAAAAGCACUUAUUUAAAAAAGCAGUUUUAUUCACGGCUUAAAAAUUGUUUGGACUCAUGCAGAAAGCUUUGUUUUGCUCUGCAGACACUGUUUGCUGUUGAGAUUUUCCACUCCAGUCAUUGCUGCCUUUAAUCUGACAGAGCACUGAAGAUCAACCAAGAUACAAGAGAGAAGAUACUUCAUUGUCUAGUACAUGACUAUAUACUAACUCCUCAAGGUAAAUGGAUUCACAAUGAUUGGUAAAUACAGGAAUCUAUAAUUUGCACCCAAUUUUAGAUCACUAUCACCACCACUGAAAAUUGAUUUCAUUUUUAUUGCUACACAAAAAAUACCUGCUUUAUUUUUUCUGCAUGCAGAUUCUAAUACUAUUUUACAUUGAUCCCCUGAUAUAUAAAGAGAAUUAAUAACUGGUUUUUAGAUAACUCAAUGCUGUAAUUACACAUUAAUAGCAAGAGUUGAAGCUAGCCAACCACAUUCAAGAAUCCAUUUCAAAUCACCAUCAAUAUCAGGAAUGACUCAUGCCUGUUGCAAUGAAAGAAACUCACCAAGGGAUUCUAACAAAAGAAUUUCCCCCCUCAGCAAUUCAGUGACUGCUCACUGCACAGUUGCAAUGUUUUGCCCUUACAUAGAGGUUUUUCAUAGGUGGGCAAACAUUAUAAUCCCUCAUUUACAGAUAGACUCACCAUUGAUCUAGGUAGGUGCAGGAAUAGAACCUGACUCCCAGUCCACUGUCUGACACACUAGGCCAUAUUGCUAAUGGAAAUUAAUGCAAGCUCUUACUGUACAUGUGAUGUAUAGCUUGUAAGUAUGUUUGAUAAAAAAAAAUUGUGAUUUGAUGAGUAUGGUUUUAUUAUGAUCUGAAUUUCUCAAGUGCUUUGCACAACAAAAUGGGAUUACAACUGUUUAGUUUAUUAGCUAAUUUAAUGUAUUUGUGGUGCUCCCAACAGCAGGUUAUUACUUGCAAAUUUUCAUUGAGGGAAGAGGAUAAGAAACUGCCCCCAAAGUGAGUAUUUUGUACUACAUGGCACAUAGGGAUGAACUUCACUUCUUUGGCUACCCACCAGUGUGAUAUUUUCUUAAAGCAAAGCACCCACUCUAGAUUACUGUAGCAAAAAACAGAUCAAACACAAAUCAAGACAUACUGAUCUGUUACAUUCAUACAGCAACAGACUAUGCAAACUUUAAAUUUAAGCUCAAACAACAAGGAACCAAAGCUUUAAGGAAAUAUCAGCACCCUUAUAAAACUGUAUACUAAUCCUGGAAUGGGCAGGAGUAUACACUACUUUCUACUUCUCUCAGCACCUCUAUUUCCUGCAUGAGUGGGAUGUUUUCUUAUGCUAAAUUUCAUUAAUUGUUAACACUCAGAGGUCACAGAAGUUCUGGUAUUCAAUACACAGAUGUUUGAAGGUACAAUUGUGAUUUAUUCCUUCCUCCCUUGCACUCAGGAUCAAAUAGCUUCACCAUAGGAAGUUCAUGUUUCAGGAGAAUUUCUGACACAUUAUCCCAUCAGCAACCACAUUCACGUCUUACAAAGCUGUGCUGAUUUUACAGUACAGGCUGGUGAGGCAGACUCUAACAGAAGAAUCACUCACAGAAAUUAGAGAAGGAAAAAGACCCAUUUUCAAGUUCAUCCCCAGUACUAGUGCAGAAUUGUCAUAAGAUUGUCUCAUGCUUCUGUGCCUGUUAGUUUUGAGAAACAUUUGAGAUAAAAUGGUCUUGAAAGAAAAA